This is a long non-coding RNA of Limulus polyphemus (Atlantic horseshoe crab), 675 nucleotides long. RefSeq lists it as uncharacterized. The transcript is spliced from 3 exons. Lineage: Eukaryota; Metazoa; Arthropoda; Merostomata; Xiphosura; Limulidae. The record is from RefSeq and is a predicted model, not a curated record.
CGCUCUGUAGGGUGUAAAUUCGAAUAUGCUUAUUGUUAGAUACAAAUAAUUAACCCAGACACUGAAGAAUGACUCCCCUCUUUUUCAAACAAAAGCUUAACAGGCAAGAGAAAUAAAAAAGGAAUUGCCAAAAAUAUAUAUAUUCUCCUACUAGAAACUUCAGCUCGUCUUAAAACCCAGUAGAAUGAAAACAUAGAGCCUUCUGAUUGUCUUCAUACACUCUCGCAGGAUAUGGAACACAGUAUCUGAAGGUCUUCCUCAGUGUGAGUGAUUCGCUGUAAAAUUACAUCCUGAAGCGUGACCUGUGAAGUGACGAAACCGGUUAAAAAAAUUAGUAAAGGAGAGAAAAAACUGAAAUGUGGAAACUUGAUUAAAUAUAUAUAUUAUCCAAAAUGCAGAAGAAUGAAGAGAAAACACAACAAUAUCUGCUCACAUCCCGCCCCUUUAAUCUAGGGUGGGGCGAAUAGUGGGCGUGCCGCGGGUUAAUUUGGCCCAUUGGUGGCCUCUAGCGGAGGAGGAUGUACAAGUAGAAAUGUCGACAGCUCCUAAUCUUUGGAUUAUUAUAUUCGACACGAAUGUAGUAGAAGAAAACAAACUAUCACGACCCAAGUAGUCUGGUAUACAAUUUAGUAUAAAAAUACAGCUGUAUGAGGAGAACUUCCUUUCCUAAUGAAA